GAGGUUAAGCGACUAAGCGUACACGGUGGAUGCCCCGCAACAGGCGUGAUGAAGGGACGCUAAUCUGCGAUAAGCGUCGGUAAGGUGAUAUUAACGUUAUAAAUCCCGAUUUGACAGGGAAACCCAGUGUUUCGACACACUAUCAUUAACUGAAUCCAUAGGUUAAUGAGGCGAACCGGGGGAACUGAAACAUCUAAGUACCCCGAGGAAAAGAAAUCAACCGAGAUUCCCCCAGUAGCGGCGAGCGAACGGGGAGCAGCCCAGAGCCUGAAUCAGUGUGCAAAAGCAGGUGCAGCGUCUGGAAAGGCGCGCGAUACAGGCUGACAGCCCCGUACACAAAAAUGCACAUGCUGUUAGAUGAUGAGUAGGGCGGGACACGUGGUAUCCUGUCUGAAUAUGGGGGGACCAUCCUCCAAGGCUAAAUACUCCUGACUGACCGAUAGUGAACCAGUACCGUGAGGGAAAGGCGAAAAGAACCCCGGCGAGGGGAGUGAAAAAGAACCUGAAACCGUGUACGUACAAGCAGUGGGAGCACGCUUAGGCGUGUGACUGCGUACCUUUUGUAUAAUGGGUCAGCGACUUAUAUUCUGUAGCAAGGUUAACCGAAUAGGGGAGCCGAAGGGAAACCGAGUCUUAACUGGGCGUUAAGUUGCAGGGUAUAGACCCGAAACCCGGUGAUCUAGCCAUGGGCAGGUUGAAGGUUGGGUAACACUAACUGGAGGACCGAACCGACUAAUGUUGAAAAAUUAGCGGAUGACUUGUGGCUGGGGGUGAAAGGCCAAUCAAACCGGGAGAUAGCUGGUUCUCCCCGAAAGCUAUUUAGGUAGCGCCUCGUGAAUUCAUCUCCGGGGGUAGAGCACUGUUUCGGCAAGGGGGUCAUCCCGACUUACCAACCCGAUGCAAACUGCGAAUACCGGAGAAUGUUAUCACGGGAGACACACGGCGGGUGCUAACGUCCGUCGUGAAGAGGGAAACAACCCAGACCGCCAGCUAAGGUCCCAAAGUCAUGGUUAAGUGGGAAACGAUGUGGGAAGGCCCAGACAGCCAGGAUGUUGGCUUAGAAGCAGCCAUCAUUUAAAGAAAGCGUAAUAGCUCACUGGUCGAGUCGGCCUGCGCGGAAGAUGUAACGGGGCUAAACCAUGCAACUGAAGCUGCGGCAGCGACGCUUGAUGUUGUUGGGUAGAGUUGCCCUGUAAGCCCGCGAAGGUGUGCGUUGUGAGGCAUGCUGGAGGUACUCAGAAGUGCGCGAAUGCUGACAUAGCGCAACGAUAGCAGAAAGCCCGCUCGCCGUUAAUCUCAAGGUUCCUGGGUCCAACGUUAAUCAGGGUGAGUCGACCCUACAUGAGGCCGAAAGGCGUAGUCGAUGGGAAACAGGUUAAUACUCAAAAUUCUGGUGUUACCGCGAAGGGGACGGAGAAGGCUAGUUGGCUCACACAAGCCAUCCCUGGUUUAAGCGUGGCUGGCCUUCCGUGCAAAUCCCGGCACCGGGCUGAGGCGUGAUGACGAGGCACUACGGUGCUGAAGCAACAAAUGCCCUGCUUCCAGGAAAAGCCUCUAAGCAUCAGGUAACAUCAAAUCGUACCCCAAACCGACACAGGUGGUCAGGUAGAGAAUACCAAGGCGCUUGAGAGAACUCGCGAAGGAAUCCAGGGCAAAAUGGUGCUUUCCGCAACUUCGGGAGAAGGCACGCCGGAUAUGUAGGUAGUCCUCUUGCGGAUGGAGCUGAAAACCCAGCCGAAGAUACCGCAGCUGGCUGCAACUGUUUAUUAAAACACAGUACUGGAAAGUGUUAAUGGGCGCGGGACGUAAUGGCGUGACGCCUGCCCGGUGCCGAAGGCAUGGGGUUAGCCGCAAGGCGAAGUCGUGAUCGAAGCCCCGGUAAACGGCAGCCGUAACUAUAACGGUCCUAAGGUAGCGAAAUUCCUUGUCGGGUAAGUUCCGACCUGCACGAAUGGCGUAAUGAUGGCUAGGCUGUCUCCACCCGAGACUCAGUGAAAUUGAACUCGCUGUGAAGAUGCAGUGUACCCGCGGCGCCAAUUAAGACCCCGUGAAACCCUUACUAUUAUAGCUUGACACUGAACAUUGAGCCUUGAUGUAGGAUAGGUGGGAGGCUUUGAAGUGUGGACGCCAGUCUGCAUGGAGCCGACCUUGAAAUACCAACCUUUAAUGUUUGAUGUUCUAACGUUGACCCGUAAUCCGGCUAUGGACAGUGUCUGGUGGUAGUUUGAUUCAGCGGUCUCCCAAAGAGUAACGGGAGGAGCACGAAGUUGGCUAACUGGCUCUCCACAUCAUCAGGAGGUUAGUGCAAUGGCAUAAGCCAGCUUGACUGCUGUUUUUAAUGCUGCUGGCGGUGCGAAAGCAGUAACAGAAGCAGAGAUCCGGUGGUUCUGAAUGGAAGGGCCAUCGCUCAACGGAUAAAAGGUACUCCGGGGAUAACAGGCUGAUACCGCCCAAGAGUUCAUAUCGACGGCGGUGUUUGGCACCUCGAUGUCGGCUCAUCACAUCCUGGGGCUGAAGUAGGUCCCAAGGGUAUGGCUGUUCGCCAUUUAAAGCGGUGGUGCAGUACGCGAGCUGGGUUUAGAAGUCGUGGCGACAGUUCGGUCCCUGCCCGCCGGGCGCUAAGAACUGAGAGGCCGCCCCAGUACGAGAGGACCGGAGUGGACGCAUCACUGGUGUUCGGGUUGUCAUGCCAAUGGCACUGCCCGGUAGCUAAAUGCGGAAGAGAUAAGUGCUGAAAGCAUCUAAGCACGAAACUUGCCCCGAGAUGAGUUCUCCCUGACUCCUUGAGAGUCCUGAAGGAACGUUGAAGACGACGACGUUGAUAGGCCGGGUGUGUAAGCGCAGCGAUGCGUUGAGCUAACCGGUACUAAUGAACCGUGAGGCUUAACCUUACAACGCCGAAGGUGUUU
RNAcentral lists this ribosomal RNA (2909 nucleotides) under Escherichia coli. Its description in RNAcentral is "23S ribosomal RNA". It matches the Rfam family "Bacterial large subunit ribosomal RNA". Lineage: Bacteria; Pseudomonadati; Pseudomonadota; Gammaproteobacteria; Enterobacterales; Enterobacteriaceae. The record is from RNAcentral.